This 777-nucleotide ribosomal RNA is filed under the name uncultured Neocallimastigales. RNAcentral describes it as "partial large subunit ribosomal RNA". It matches the Rfam family "Eukaryotic large subunit ribosomal RNA", at positions 23 to 634 of the family's 3401-position model. Lineage: Eukaryota; Fungi; Neocallimastigomycota; Neocallimastigomycetes; Neocallimastigales. The record is from RNAcentral.
GAGAGAGAGACAUGCGCGCAUAUCAAUAAGCGGAGGAAAAGAAACUAACAAGGAUUCCCUUAGUAACGGCGAGUGAAGCGGGAAGAGCUCAAAUUUGAAAUCUUCAAGGUUUUACCUUGACGAAUUGUAGUUUAAAGAAGUGUUUUCUGCUGAAGUUUUGGUAAAAGUUCUUUGGAAUAGGACAUCAUAGGAGGGUGAGAAUCCCGUAUUUGACCAUUAUUUUCAGCUUUGUGAUACACUUUCAAAGAGUCGGAUUGUUUGGGAAUGCAGUCCAAAAUGGGUGGUAAAUUUCAUCUAAAGCUAAAUAUUGGCGAGAGACCGAUAGCGAACAAGUACCGUGAGGGAAAGAUGAAAAGAACUUUGAAAAGAGAGUUAAACAGUACGUGAAAUUGUCAAAAGGGAAGCGUUUGACACCAGUGUUGUUUUCUCGAAAAUCAAUUAAAAAUGGCUCGAUUUUGUAUUGUUGAGACCUUAAAAGCUCACUGUACAUUUUUCGUGUCUUUUUUAAUGCACUUUUCGUUUAACAAGUCAACAUCAGUUUCUUUUGCUGUAAAAGGGUCAUUGGAAGGUGGCUUUCUUUUCGGAGAAAGUGUUUAUAGCCUUUGGCCUCUGCAAUCGGAGAGACUGAGGUCUGCAGCGUAGACUCUUCGGGGUUAGAUACAUUUGUGCUAAGUUAUAGCUUUUUAUAGACAACUUGUUGACUAUAAUUAGUCCUUGUAGCUUACUCGCUUAUGCUAUUUUACCUACGCUUAGGAUGUUGAGUCGUAGAGCACGCAG